AAGGAGAAGUAAAGCUUCAAUGUGAAUGAGAUUUGCUCUAAAUAUAAAUGCUGAGAGGAAAGGUCAUUGAAAACAGGAAGGAUGAAAAGAAGUCAGAAAGCAGAUCAGCAACGCCAAAGACAUACUUCCUGAGAGUUCACUUUGCCCACCAUUGAAUCCCUAGUACCUGUAAUAACGACUGGCUUGGAGUUGGCAGCCAACAAAAAUUUGUCGAACGGAUGAAUGAAAUGAAGGAAUGUGAGAUGUACACAGGAACCACAAUCAUAUAAGGCAAAACUUGCCAUGUUUGGAGUGAGCAGAGCUGGAAGGCCGUACAAAU
This 319-nucleotide long non-coding RNA is filed under the name Pan troglodytes (chimpanzee). RNAcentral describes it as "long non-coding RNA NONPTRT015324". The record is from RNAcentral. Lineage: Eukaryota; Metazoa; Chordata; Mammalia; Primates; Hominidae.